GCCAGCAUGGCAUAGUGGUUUGAGCAUUGGACUACAACUCUGGAGACCAGGGUUCAAGUCCCUGCUUGGCC
RNAcentral lists this transfer RNA (71 nucleotides) under Phrynosoma platyrhinos (Desert horned lizard). RNAcentral describes it as "tRNA-OTHER". It matches the Rfam family "tRNA". From Rfam's summary of the family: Transfer RNA (tRNA) molecules are approximately 80 nucleotides in length. Their secondary structure includes four short double-helical elements and three loops (D, anti-codon, and T loops). Further hydrogen bonds mediate the characteristic L-shaped molecular structure. tRNAs have two regions of fundamental functional importance: the anti-codon, which is responsible for specific mRNA codon recognition, and the 3' end, to which the tRNAs corresponding amino acid is attached (by aminoacyl-tRNA synthetases). tRNAs cope with the degeneracy of the genetic code in two manners: having more than one tRNA (with a specific anti-codon) for a particular amino acid; and 'wobble' base-pairing, i.e. permitting non-standard base-pairing at the 3rd anti-codon position. Lineage: Eukaryota; Metazoa; Chordata; Lepidosauria; Squamata; Phrynosomatidae. The record is from RNAcentral.